Molecule: ribosomal RNA, 430 nt
Filed under: Pseudomonadota bacterium
Lineage: Bacteria; Pseudomonadati; Pseudomonadota
Description: Proteobacteria bacterium partial 16S ribosomal RNA
Rfam family: Bacterial small subunit ribosomal RNA
Source: RNAcentral
UGGGGAAUAUUGGACAAUGGGGGGAACCCUGAUCCAGCCAUGCCGCGUGUGUGAAGAAGGCCUUAUGGUUGUAAAGCACUUUAAGCGAGGAGGAGGGUACUGGUAUUAAUACUACCAGCUACUGGACGUUACUCGCAGAAUAAGCACCGGCUAACUCUGUGCCAGCAGCCGCGGUAAUACAGAGGGUGCGAGCGUUAAUCGGAUUUACUGGGCGUAAAGCGUGCGUAGGCGGCUAAUUGAGUCGGAUGUGAAAUCCCCGAGCUUAACUUGGGAAUUGCAUUCGAUACUGGUUAGCUAGAGUGUGGGAGAGGAUGGUAGAAUUCCAGGUGUAGCGGUGAAAUGCGUAGAGAUCUGGAGGAAUACCGAUGGCGAAGGCAGCCAUCUGGCCUAACACUGACGCUGAGGCACGAAAGCAUGGGGAGCAAACAGG